RNAcentral lists this ribosomal RNA (536 nucleotides) under uncultured archaeon. RNAcentral describes it as "bacterial SSU rRNA". It matches the Rfam family "Archaeal small subunit ribosomal RNA", at positions 461 to 997 of the family's 1478-position model. The record is from RNAcentral.
GCGCCGCGGUAACACCGGCGGCCGAGUGGUGAUCGUGAUUAUUGGGUCUAAAGGGUCCGUAGCCGGUUUGGUCAGUCCUCCGGGAAAUCUGAUAGCUCAACUAUUAGGCUUUCGGGGGAUACUGCCAGACUUGGAACCGGGAGAGGUAAGAGGUACUACAGGGGUAGGAGUGAAAUCUUGUAAUCCCUGUGGGACCACCUGUGGCGAAGGCGUCUUACCAGAACGGGUUCGACGGUGAGGGACGAAAGCUGGGGGCACGAACCGGAUUAGAUACCCGGGUAGUCCCAGCCGUAAACGAUGCUCGCUAGGUGUCAGGCAUGGCGCGACCGUGUCUGGUGCCGCAGGGAAGCCGUGAAGCGAGCCACCUGGGAAGUACGGCCGCAAGGCUGAAACUUAAAGGAAUUGGCGGGGGAGCACAACAACGGGUGGAGCCCUGCGGUUUAAUUGGACUCAACGCCGGACAACUCACCGGGGGCGACAGCAAUAUGUAGGCCAAGCUGAAGACUUUGCCUGAAUCGCUGAGAAGAGGUGCAUGG